Molecule: long non-coding RNA, 610 nt
Organism: Daphnia pulex (common water flea)
Lineage: Eukaryota; Metazoa; Arthropoda; Branchiopoda; Diplostraca; Daphniidae
Exons: 4
Source: RefSeq, a predicted model, not a curated record
GCUAGAUUUAAUUACAGACAUCAUCGCUUGCACUAACCACAUCCAAACCUGAUAUUCUAAACAACUAAAGUUUAUUUUGUAAUCGUCCUCAAAAUGGCGAGUUCGGUUUUCACUUUUGGAAAUAGUUUUCUAGGAAUUUUCGCUUUCAUUUUACAGAUUGUGGCAUUGAUUGUUUCCGGUGCGCAGUGGAUACCUGAUUUGGUGAGUACUGGAAUUUGGGGAGGAAUCUUUCUCAUCUUUAACAGCUUCGUGAUCGCGAAAAAAAAAUGGAAGAGCUCUGAACCCAACAAGUUUUGGCAAUUUACGCCAUUUUAAUUGGCCUCACCUUAAUUGGGAUGAACUCGUGGAGCAUCAGUGCGUACCAACCCUUUAUCGCCGAUUGCCAACGGGUUCAAUUCGCUAGAAUCUCUUUGUGUGGUCGAGUGGCUAUCGAUUCCUUGUUGAUUUUGACCGGUAUUUUUACUGUCCUACUUAACGUAUGGAUUUACAGUGAGGCUUCAUCUUUGAUUGUUGGAAGCUAAAUAUUCCGUUUUAGCAGAAAUAGUAUAGCCCCUGCAAUGAAAUUAUAGCUGCAAUCAUUCUAAAGGAAAAAUACAAAAUUUGAGUCAUA